This 67-nucleotide transfer RNA is filed under the name Lactobacillus delbrueckii. Its description in RNAcentral is "tRNA-Glu". It matches the Rfam family "tRNA". From Rfam's summary of the family: Transfer RNA (tRNA) molecules are approximately 80 nucleotides in length. Their secondary structure includes four short double-helical elements and three loops (D, anti-codon, and T loops). Lineage: Bacteria; Bacillati; Bacillota; Bacilli; Lactobacillales; Lactobacillaceae. The record is from RNAcentral.
CCCGUUGGUCAAGUGGUUAAGACACCGCCCUUUCACGGCGGUAACAUGGGUUCAAAUCCCGUACGGG